This is a non-coding RNA of Cricetulus griseus (Chinese hamster), 3169 nucleotides long. Lineage: Eukaryota; Metazoa; Chordata; Mammalia; Rodentia; Cricetidae. The record is from RefSeq and is a predicted model, not a curated record.
UGACCGCGCGGAGUUCGCUCUGGGGUGCUUCAGCAGUGUGCCAGUGAAUCCUCGGGACAAGGCGCCAAAGUGUCCACCCACCCCACUUGGAAGGGCUGGGCAAAGGUUGCACGUGGCUCGUCAAGCCGGCCUUGCCUCGGAAACUCCACCAGUGAUGCGGCUGCCCACGGUGGCCUGCUCUGGGUGCUUAGGGUGUGUGAGUUGCCUCACCCCCCCCACCUCCACCCCCCGGCUUGUCGAAAACCGCGCCCUAUCAUUGGAGCCGAGGGAAAGAGGGGUGUCCAUUUGGGGACCCAGUGUGACCCGCGACUGGCGGUAGCUGCGGGGAGGGCACGCUCUAGCUCCUGCGUUUACCAAGGGCCAGGGACUUUAAUGGGUACAGUUCCACCCACUUUGCAAAUUAGGAAAUUGAGGCUUCCCGGCAGGUUAAACCAAGUGGUCCUGCGCGACGAGAAAGAAGUUGAGAUUUGGAGGCAAGCCUUAUUCAGAGGCCGGUCUUUUCUCAUGCAUAGCAGGACAAUGAAGAAAGAGCAGCCCUCCCCACCGUUCAUGGUUAGACAUUUACUCUCAAGCUUAGACUCAUCUUCCUCUCUUCCUUCUUUGCUCUGACAAACCUGGAGCGCCGACAGGUCGCCACACACUUUUUAAGGGGAGAGAGAGAGCACGGAGCUCGGGUGCCAGCAAGGGAGCCAGACACACGCAGAGAAGGACUAUGUCGGGUUGUGUUUGUCACUGAGUGACCACCCCUAGGGUGGGCGGCCACAAAGGGAGGAGACCUUUGAACAAUGACUUCAUACACAAGCAGCCCUGAGAGGAUAGGGUCAGAGACCACCAGGAAAAGCCACUGGAGUCAGUUCCGCUCCCCAGUGCUCGGCCUGCGUUCGGUUAGAAGGACCCGUCCAUCCACUGUGGCAGAGAAGCGCCAGGCCUGGCUUUUGGAGCUGAGUCCCCAGCCUCCCUACCUGUUUUCAAUGAGAUGGAAAUCAGGUGCACGUUGCCCAGCUUCUCACGUGACCUCUCUCUAAAUAAGCAGUAAGCAACUGCAAAACUCAGAAUGCUAAUAAUGGCCUAUAUUGAGUGAAAAGAGCUAAUUUGGGCAAUGAUGUUUCCCUCGGAUUUACAAAAGGGAAUUGCAAAUAACCAAACAGUAAUAGCACUGAUGGGAGAUGAUGCUAAACUUCAAUCAGCACCCGCGUUAGUUAUUCACAUAUUUAGAAGGGAACCUUUUCGACACAGUGGCUGCGCACACGCGUUACGGUGACAGGGUAUGAACAUGGUGGUCAUCCUUGAGGUGUGACAGCCCCAGAAGGAUCUGCAGGAGCUACUGUAGACCAGGUCAUUUCAGGCCUGCUGAGGAGAACAGUGCUCUCCUCAGCCUGGAAGGCCCAACAGUAGUGGAGGACACUACUGUGAUUUGGGCCUAAAGUUUCAUUCAGAGGUGGAAACAAACGGAAGGAAAUUCAGCCACAGGGCACCGCUGCUCCUGAAGAAAUGAAUGUUUUCCUCCCAGAACUGAAUUACUGGUGUGCUGGGACUGGCAAAGACCAUGGAGGCCUGCUAAAGGAUGCUGCCCUCUGUGUGGUGAUGUACCCAAAUUUACCGUCAGCAAAGACCGAGCAGAUGGGGCUAUCUAGUCGUGGACUUCAACACUCCCAAACUGUAAGCUGUAUAAGCCUCUCUUCUGUAUAGACAGAUUCCAGCCUCAGAAAACAGAUAAUGGGUGCAUGGAGGAGACAGAAUGGAUGUGGUAUGAGACUGGAGGAGAGGUCACAUGAAGGAACCCCUUCCGGGGAGAAUCAAGUGGAUCAUGACUUCACAGGAAGUCCCAUUCUCCCAGGACAUAGGCACUAAAGCAGAGAAGUGCGGGUGUUGUCCAGGACUGGCUCUGCCAGCUAUCUUGGAGCUACAGUGGCAGCAGAGCCUCUGUACCCUUCAGGGUCAUUGACUUCUCUCCACUCUGCAGACCUGAGAUGUCUGCAGACAGAAAUGUGGAUAGUCUUCCCUGAUUGCCUUGGGCUGCAGAACCCCAAGGGACAAGGGUUUCUCUGUGUAGCCCUGGUGUCCUGGAACUCACGACCUGGCUGGCCUUGAACUCACAGAGAUCUGCCCGCCUCUGCCUCCUGAACACUGGGAUUAAAGAUGUGCACCAGCACAUCCAGCAUUUUUAUUAAAUUUUAAUUAUUUAAGUGUGUAAAGAUUAUCCUCAGUUGCACAAGACCCUGUCUCAAAAGUCAGAAAAAAAUGGUUUGUGGUGGGGAGCUGGUGACAUUGUUCAGCAAGUAAUGUGCUUGUCACCUAAGACUGUCAACCUGCCUUUGGGCUCUGGAAACCACAUGGGAGGAGAGAGAUUGCCCUCUGACUUCCACAUGUGUGCCAUGGAGCAUGCACAAGCCCCCAUCAUAUACACACAAUGGUAAUGUUUAAAAAAAAAAAUAGAGGAGGAGGAGCUGAAUCUAAGGGCAGACCUGUUAGCUUCUGCCUGAGUCAGCAUGUCUGUUUCAUUUGCUCCUUCAGAUAUUGGCACCAAGGACUCUGAUGUCACUCAUCCCCUGGGCACACUGACAGUGGCUGUGGUACACAGCAGGAAACUGCUUCAUAAUAGUCCCAGUGGCCCCUCUGCUGACUCUGGAUCACCCUGAACCAAGCCUUUCCACGUUCCAGGCUGACUUCUCUUCCAGGAUGGAAUUCCUGACCUUGCUGGCCAGGGCUAGGGCAGUGGGGGGGGGGGGCAGAUGAGAAAGGGCAUUGGAUAAUCCAGAGAGGUCUGCACCCUCUCCCAGAGAACCACUCCCCUUACCUGGUGAGGAGUCACUUGUCCCCAUCCCCCAUAAGGAAAGACUUGAAAAACCAGAAAAUGAGAGUGCCAAGAUGAACCAUCACAUUGUGUUAAUAUUUUCACACCACUUAACUCUCAUUAAAAUGUACUUUGCUGAAUUUAAUAUGUGAUUUCAAAUGACACAACAUAUUAAGUGCUUAAUAUACUAGAAAUUAUGAAACUAUUAUAGUCGAUGCCAUAUGAAAUAAUUAGAGUGAAUUAAACUUUAGCAGCCGAGUGAAGGCAAGGCUUCAACUUAUAAUAUCUGCAAGUCGCUCAAGCCACCGCUGUAAUCCCCCAAAUAAAUGUCCAGAAAUUAGGCUCUUUAAAUAAAAACUGAAUUUCAUGUGUAUU